RNAcentral lists this long non-coding RNA (465 nucleotides) under Oryza brachyantha (malo sina). RNAcentral's name for it is "long non-coding RNA (OBRA_LNC002115)". The record is from RNAcentral. Lineage: Eukaryota; Viridiplantae; Streptophyta; Magnoliopsida; Poales; Poaceae.
UCCCCUGACCCUCCUCCGCCUCCCCCGCCACCAAACAAGAACCACAGCCUCGCCGCCACCCCGCCCUCCCCCGGCGGCGCCGCGCCGCCCCUGUACCGCUUGGCGCAGAUGAAGAUAUAAAAGCAGAGCACGAACGAUAUGAACACGGCCGCCACCGCCGCCAUCAUCGUGGUCGCCGCCGCCACCGUCGUCGCCGUCACCGCCAUCAACCACCUCCUCAAUUCCUUCCCCCUCAAAUGCAAACACCGCAACCGUUCUUGGCACCCACGCCUCCCUCUCCCUCUCCCUCUCCCUCCCUGUUCUCGCAAGCUUCUUGGUUGGCGCGAGAUACGAUAUAUUUUUAAGCGGGGUGAUUUGGAGCUGGAUUAAGGUAAUGAGGCGCGCGCUGGCUACUUAUAUGGCGGGGGCGAAGGCGAAGCAUUGGAGAGGAUAAGCGGAGGAGGAUGGUUUGGAGGAGAAGGUGAG